RNAcentral lists this unclassified non-coding RNA (183 nucleotides) under uncultured Clavariaceae. Its description in RNAcentral is "sequence contains ITS1". The record is from RNAcentral. Lineage: Eukaryota; Fungi; Basidiomycota; Agaricomycetes; Agaricales; Clavariaceae.
UUGAAAUCCUUUGGAUGUUGCUGGCCUUCUUUUGGGGGCAUGUGCACUCCGCCUUUCAAUUCACCUGUGAACUCAUUGUAGGCUCAGAUGUAACAAUCUGUGUCUAUGUUUUUUAUAACACCCCUUUAAAAAGUUUAAACAGAAUGUUUAAAUAGGCCUUUGAUGGCUGAAAUAUACAUAAUA